RNAcentral lists this long non-coding RNA (219 nucleotides) under Musa acuminata (dwarf banana). RNAcentral describes it as "long non-coding RNA (MACU_LNC001996)". Lineage: Eukaryota; Viridiplantae; Streptophyta; Magnoliopsida; Zingiberales; Musaceae. The record is from RNAcentral.
UACAAGACAACACAUACCUGCAGCAACUUCCACUGAUUUCUAUCAAACCUUUGCUACCAUCUACCACAGAUCUAAAACUUUCAUCCAUAGCCCUAAAACUCUACUAAACCACACCCUCAAACUGCACCCAAAACAGCCACAAAACAAGCCUAAACCGCAGCCUACAUCCACCAAUCCACUAACCCUUUCGACCAUCACUUCUCUCAACCUAUACAUGCC